CCUGCCCCAACUCGUGUUGCAGCCAUGGCUGCAGUGCCAGGUCUGUGUCAUUGGGUGGCAGAGAGGAACAGGCUGUGUCUGUGCUGGUGCUCUGAGACCUGUGGGCACUCAGGAAUGAUCAUCAACCUGACAGU
Non-coding RNA from Chaetura pelagica (chimney swift), 134 nucleotides. The record is from Rfam. NCBI's taxonomy places the organism in Eukaryota, Metazoa, Chordata, Aves, Apodiformes, Apodidae.